UCUCGCGCAGCUGGGCGCAAACGAGCUACCGCGGGACGGGCAGGCCGUGCCGGAAUGCGCGUGUGUACCGAGGGGCUCCGCGGACACGAAGUUACGAGAAGGCGCCGCUCCUGCAGCCCAGCGCGGGCUUCCUCCGCGCCGUCAAGAGACGCGCGAGCCGCCUCUGACAAGAACCUGGCACGGCUAAUGAAUGAUGCCCGCCCCAUCUGCGCCUCUUCUGUCAGCGUGGUCGUUAAAUGGCUGGUGUUUCUCGCACGGUGUUGUGUAAGAUCAUCGACCCCGCGAUCCUGAGUUACAGUACGCGUCGACAGCGCCGGAAAGCGUUUUUUCUUCGAUCUUUCCACUUUAAACAGUCGGUAUUCGCGCACCGGUCGCGACAACGUGCGCUCCGCGCCUGACAAUAAGAAAACAAACCUAUUCGAGGGGCAGCACGAAUGUGCUGCUGCCAUACUGUCAUCCGAAUAUCUUCAACUUCAUCGCAGUCCGUAUGUGUCGCCGCCGCACAGUAUCGUUUGCAGUGGAGCCGUGGGAAACGUGGUAUGUUGGGAGGCUGCGGACCACUGCGCCAGCUAUUUUAUGAGAAGGGAAAGGUGGAGAAACGCCUGGUCUGCUAAAACAAGCUGGCACAGACGCUCGCUUCGAAUGUAAAAUGUGCACAAGUCAUCAACAGACCUUGGACGGCAGCAAUGAUCGUGUUACCGCCUGCCGAUGACAAGAAUUCGGUCUUGGUGCGCCAGGGUGAAACAGCUUCCCAACGGCUGCUUGUAAAGGAGCCAAGAAGCGUCAAUGCUUACAUUUCUGCAGCGGCGCAUGUAGGAUGCGCAUCUGACGAAGCCAUCUCCUUUUCAAGAUGACAGAAACGUGCAGAAUGUGGAAGUGUCCAGAGCCGAUAAAAAGCACCAGGAUCACGCUGUAAACAUCGAGCUGCCGCACAACCAAAGGUCCCCCGACCACCUCAAGACCAAGGUCGUCGCACAGAAGUUCAAGUGACCACGUCUCUAACCUCCCCGCAUCGUAACAAAGAACAAGUUUGAAAACGAUUUGCAACGCAAGCCCAAAGGAAGGUGGAUAACGAUAAGGUCAUGAAAGCAACGCUGCGGUCUGGCGUGGUUUUGUUCGUCGACUCAUGCACUAGUUUUGCCAACGCAUUUUUUUAGUCUUGCGCAGUUCUGAAAGAACACCUCUAUAAAUUGUGUGCUGA
Dermacentor andersoni is the source of this 1201-nucleotide long non-coding RNA. RefSeq lists it as uncharacterized. The record is from RefSeq and is a predicted model, not a curated record. Lineage: Eukaryota; Metazoa; Arthropoda; Arachnida; Ixodida; Ixodidae.